UAAAUCCUGAGAUGUGCGCUUAGCUUAAAAUAUUCAACCUACAUUGAAUAUACGGGAUUUGCUAUAUCUAAAAGUAUGCUGGGCUCCAGUAAUUCACUUAUGUGGCAGGAGAAAGCAAAGAGUUAGUGCGCUUAACCCACCUGCGAGUAGCAGGUAUGAAUAUUUAAGUGACCGGCAUGUUGGGAAUAAU
This 190-nucleotide small RNA is filed under the name Clostridium sp. RNAcentral's name for it is "6S RNA". It matches the Rfam family "6S / SsrS RNA". Rfam says of the family: E. coli 6S RNA was the first non coding RNA to be sequenced, but its function was unknown until recently. Lineage: Bacteria; Bacillati; Bacillota; Clostridia; Eubacteriales; Clostridiaceae. The record is from RNAcentral.